This 493-nucleotide ribosomal RNA is filed under the name uncultured bacterium. RNAcentral's name for it is "bacterial SSU rRNA". It matches the Rfam family "Bacterial small subunit ribosomal RNA", at positions 28 to 524 of the family's 1533-position model. The record is from RNAcentral.
GACGAACGCUGGCGGCGUGCUUAACACAUGCAAGUCGAGCGGUAAGGCCCUUUCGGGGGUACGACGAGCGGCGAACGGGUGAGUAACACGUGGGUGACCUGCCUCUAGCUCUGGGAUAAGCCUGGGAAACUGGGUCUAAUACCGGAUAUGACUCCAUGACGCAUGUUGUGGGGUGGAAAGCCUUGUGCGGCUGAGGAUGGGCCCGCGGCCUAUCAGCUUGUUGGUGGGGGAUGGCCUACCAAGGCGACGACGGGUAGCCGGCCUGAGAGGGCGACCGGCCACACUGGGACUGAGACACGGCCCAGACUCCUACGGGAGGCAGCAGUGGGGAAUCUUGCGCAAUGGCCUAACGGCUGACGCAGCGACGCCGCGUGUGGGAUGAAGCUCUCGGAGUGUAAACCACUGUUGCCCGGGACGAAUAGCUCGAUUAAUCGAGCCUGACGGUACCGGGUGAGGAAGCACCGGCUAACUCCGUGCCAGCCGCCGCAGUAAG